AGUCUGGUGCCAGCAGCUGCGGUAAUACCAGCUCCAAUAGCGUAUAUUAAAGUUGUUGCAGUUAAAAAGCUCGUAGUUGGACUUGUGUGCGCUGUCCGCGGGUGGCCUGCGCCCAAAAGGGCGUUUCGGUUCGGCCCCGGUGGCGCCUUGAAAUCUGCAGCUGGGGGGACGUUGGCCUUAACUGGUCGGCGACCGCACGCCGGCUGCUCGGUUACUGUGAGAAGAUUAGAGUGUUCAAGGCAGGCAUUGGGUGCAAUUGAAUACAUUAGCAUGGAAUAAUAAAAUAUGGCUCCUGCCGUAUUUUGUUGGUUUUGACUGGUGGGAGUAAUGAUUGAUAGGGACGGUUGGGGGUGCUAGUAUUGAGCGGCCAGAGGUGAAAUUCAUGGAUUCGCUCAAGACUAACUUAUGCGAAAGCAUUCACCAAGGACGUCCUCUUUAAUCAAGAACGAAAGUUGGGGGAUCGAAGACGAUCAGAUACCGUCGUAGUCUCAACCAUAAACUAUGUCGACUUGGGAUCGGCGGUAGUUUUUUCAUUAAGACACUGUCGGGACCACGGGAGAAAUCAAAGUGUCUGGACUCUGGGGGAAGUGUGGUCGCAAGGCUGAAACUUGAAGGAAUUGACGGAAGGGCACCACCAGGAGUGGAGCCUGCGGCUUAAUUUGACCCAACACGGGGAAACUUACCAGGUCCAGAGAUGUAGAGGAUUGACAGAUUGAAGCUCUUUCUUGAUCACUUCGGUGGUGGUGCAUGGCCGUUCUUAGUUGGUGGAGUGAUUUGUCUGGUUAAUUCCGUUAACGAACGAGACCUCAGCCUGCUAGUGUAGUCGGCUGGAUUGCCUUUGGCGAUCCGUGAUUUCGACUUCUUAGAGGGACAAUCGACGCGCAGUCGAUGGAAGUUUGAGGCAAUAACAGGUCUGUGAUGCCCUUAGAUGUUCUGGGCCGCACGCGCGCUACACUGCUGGGCUCAGCGAGUUUUACUUGGCCGAGAGGCCCGGUUAAUCUUGUGAAAUCCCAGCGUGCUUGGGCUCGCCUCCUGCAACUGGAGGCGCCAACGAGGAAUUCCUAGUAAACGCAGGUCAUCAACCUGCAUCGAUUACGUCCCUGCCCUUUGUACACACCGCCCGCCGUUCCAUAAGAGUGAGGCAUCCGGUGAAUUCUCGGGAGAGCCUGGGCGUGGCCAGCAAUGGUCUGCUCGGGUUUGAACUUGCAUAAACUUGGUGCCUAUGAUUAGGG
This 1232-nucleotide ribosomal RNA is filed under the name metagenome. RNAcentral describes it as "SSU rRNA". It matches the Rfam family "Eukaryotic small subunit ribosomal RNA", at positions 558 to 1783 of the family's 1831-position model. The record is from RNAcentral.